Molecule: ribosomal RNA, 309 nt
Filed under: uncultured bacterium
Lineage: Bacteria
Description: bacterial SSU rRNA
Rfam family: Bacterial small subunit ribosomal RNA
Source: RNAcentral
GCGGUAAUACGUAUGUCGCAAGCGUUAUCCGGAUUUAUUGGGCGUAAAGCGCGUCUAGGCGGUUUGGUAAGUCUGAUGUGAAAAUGCGGGGCUCAACUCCGUAUUGCGUUGGAAACUGCCAAACUAGAGUACUGGAGAGGUAGGCGGAACUACAAGUGUAGAGGUGAAAUUCGUAGAUAUUUGUAGGAAUGCCGAUGGGGAAGCCAGCCUACUGGACAGAUACUGACGCUAAAGCGCGAAAGCGUGGGUAGCAAACAGGAUUAGAUACCCGGUGUCCACGCCGUANACGAUGAUUACUAGGUGUUGGGG